AGGAUCUGGAGGAAUUGAAGGCGUGUCUGGAGUUGGGUUUUGGAUUUGAGUCACCCGAAUUGGACAGCCGGCUUUCCAAUACGUUGCCGGCUUUAGGACUGUAUCAUGCUGUGAAUAAAAGUUACAGUGAUUCCAUCUCAAAGUCUGCGAAUAGGACGGCGUUUUCAUCGCCUGAUCGUGAUUACAUCAACUCUCCUUCUCCUCUCGGUAGCCCUCUUGCCAUUUUUGGUUCCUCUGGUAUACAAUUCUUCAUUCCCUUUUCUUUUUCUUUUUCAUUUACUAACAUUUUAUUUUAUAGUUUGAAAUAUAAAGUGUGGUUUUGAUUACUUCUUGUUCUGCUUUUUUAAUACAUCUCUAGAUUUUAAAUUUCAUGUCUCAUAAAUUUCUACAUUUUAAAAAUUUUAGACAAUUUUUUAAAAAAGAAAAUAUAGUUUCAAUCAUACCUUUAUUUCUUUUUAAAUUGAAUCUUACCUUUAUACAAUUGUUAAAUAUUUAGUACAUUUCAUGCCUCGUCUCUAAUCGUUCAAUCAUAACUUGUGGGAUGACAAAUUUUCUUUUUUACUUUUUUUCUAAUAAUUGAAUAUUUUAUGCGUAAGUGAUGGAAAGAAAUUAAAAAAAAAAGUGAUGUCUGAAAUGCACUCAGAUAUUACUUUUUUUUUUUUUGUUAUUAGAGAGAUUUGAUAGACCAAUUUUUACCACUGGAAUUAUAAGAAUGUAACGAAAACUAAGACCACAUAUGCAUAAUUUCUACUAUUUAUCUUUAAACUUCUUUAAUUUAAGGUUUAAUUUAGCGUAUAUCACAUUUAGUGAAUUGUUCGAAUAUAUAAUCAACUAAAUUUAAAAGUAUAAUAAUUUAAAUGAAUAUUUUAAAAUUACACCAACCAAAAUAAAACAAAUAGAAAAUAACAUUCAAUUUUUAAGAAUUUUGUAUAAACAAAAAUGAAAUUACUUGUUUAUUUUUGUAUUUAAUGAUACAUUUCUUCUAAAAAAAUUUUACAUCUCAUAAAUAUAUAUAUGUGGUUAAUGAGUUGUUUGUUUGUUAGUUGUAAAGUAAUAAUAAUAAUGUGAGUGCAUAAAUUAGGGGAAAAUCCAAAGGCGGUGAAGACAAAGCUAAGGCAGUGGGCUCAAGUGGUUGCUUGUUCGGUGAAGAACUCAUCAACUUAAAUAUAUCUUAAAUUAUCGAC
This 1184-nucleotide long non-coding RNA is filed under the name Cucumis sativus (cucumber). RNAcentral's name for it is "long non-coding RNA (CSAT_LNC000667)". The record is from RNAcentral. Lineage: Eukaryota; Viridiplantae; Streptophyta; Magnoliopsida; Cucurbitales; Cucurbitaceae.